This 378-nucleotide ribosomal RNA is filed under the name uncultured eukaryote. Its description in RNAcentral is "SSU rRNA". It matches the Rfam family "Eukaryotic small subunit ribosomal RNA", at positions 587 to 972 of the family's 1831-position model. The record is from RNAcentral.
AGCUCCAAUAGCGUAUAUUAAAGUUGUUGCAGUUAAAAAGCUCGUAGUUGGACUUCUGGCCGUUUGGGACGGUCCACCUCACGGUGAGCACUGUUCUGGGCGGCCAUCCUCUCGGAGUUGUGCGGUGCCAUUAACUUGGUGCUGUAUGAACCCGAGACCUUUACUUUGAAAAAAUUAGAGUGUUCAAAGCAGGCCUACGCUUGAAUACAUUAGCAUGGAAUAAUGGAAUAGGACUUUGGUUCUAUUUUGUUGGUUUCUAGGACCGAAGUAAUGAUUAAUAGGGACAGUUGGGGGCAUUCGUAUUUAAUUGUCAGAGGUGAAAUUCUUGGAUUUAUGAAAGACGAACUACUGCGAAAGCAUUUGCCAAGGAUGUUUUCA